Molecule: non-coding RNA, 3838 nt
Organism: Podarcis lilfordi (Lilford's wall lizard)
Lineage: Eukaryota; Metazoa; Chordata; Lepidosauria; Squamata; Lacertidae
Source: the annotation of a GenBank genome assembly
UCAUACUGCAGUGCACUGUACACCAUUAAUUGUAUUAUGAAAGACAAGCUAACGUGCAUUUCCCACAGUCUAAAUUACUUGCAGAGAGUCAAGAAAUGUUUCUGAUUCUAUUCUGGGCCUGACAGUAAAAAGUCAAAGAUAAGUUUGCUUGGAAAUGUUUAGAUCAAGGUCUCAUUGCUCUGAUAGUGCUAAAAAUUGGAGGCUUUGAUAUCUUUGGGAAAUGUAAACUCAGUACAAGUUUUUGAGCUUCCCAGUACUGCCCUUUAGCCAACAUUUAUUCCCCCUCCUUCAGUUUUCUUUCAAUUUUUGCUGAGUUUUCUGUGUUCUUGCAUUUCAACAUGUUUAUCUUCAUGCCAGAAGCUACUACACUUACUUAAUUUCUGGCUGUCACACAGCUAAUAAAAACACUUUGGUAAAAGGGGAGGGGGGAAUUGCAAUGCUGUUUUUAAGGUCUCUGAUGAGUUUAUUCAACAAAUGCACUUUAGCAAGCCAUUUGGUCCCUUUGCAUGUACAGUGGUCCCUCGGGUUAAGUACUUAAUUCGUUCCGGAGGUCCGUUCUUAACCUGAAACUGUUCUUAACCUGAAGCACCACUUUAGCUAAUGGGGCCUCCUGCUGCCGCCGUGCCGCCGGAGCCAGAUUUCUGUUCUUAUCCUGAAGCAAAGUUCUUAACCUGAAGCACUAUUUCUGGGUUAGCGGAGUGUGUAACCUGAAGCGUAUGUAACCUGAAGCGUAUGUAACCCGAGGUACCACUGUAUUAUGUCAAUUACAUGCCUAUUCACAUGCCAAACAGCGGGAAGAAUGAGAUGGAUAUUGGUAUUGCAGCAGUGAAUGUGCAAACUCCACAUUGCACCAAACUUCAUUUCAGCCAAGGCCAUUUCAAGUCAUCUGAGAAGCUGUUGUGCAGAUGACGCCUUAAGGUCGUGUGGCAGCACCUACUUUCUCAUUAGCACAAUGUUGCAUUUGUCAUAUUUACAAAUGGUUCCAUAAAAAGAUUGUGCGAAAUGUGCUUCACAGGACUGUUAUGGGAAGCAAAAGGCAAACUUAAGAAGUUGUUCACUCGCAGUUAAGGAAUGUAAAAGGUCCCUAGGGUGUAGGAUGACCUUUAAGUUCUGCCAGAAGACUGGUAAGACAUAUGCUUUCAUUUAAAAUAAAUGUGUAUCUUGCUCUUUCCCCUAUGAAAACAAGAGCAAAAUCGUGAAAAACUGCUCAAGAGCGUUUGCCACACAGCAAUAUCCAAUUUGAACAAGAUUUUCAUGUGAACAUUUUUCUACUGGCUUCUCCGUAAUGAAGAUGGCAUUAAAGUUGUGGAUGGCUUUCUAAAUGUAUUUUGUGGUUUUUUUGUAUCUUCAGCGUGUACAUUUUACCUUUGAUCUCCUUGUCUUAUGAAGGUAAAUGUGUAGUUGCCAAGGUAAUGUGACAUUUUGAGCCUCAGAAAAGACAAUGCCCUACUGCAUGCCAGGGCCAUAGCUAGGGGGUGGUGAGGUGGGCCCCAGCCAGGGGCACAGGCGAUGGAGGGGUGCAAAAUCAGCUAAAAAUAUGUCCAUAAAUAUAAAUAUUGAUUACUGCCUCAUAAGAAAUGGUUUUAAAUAGAGGGUGAAUUGAAUGGGAGGGGGAAUGUUGGACAAGAGGCAGAAAGAAGAGCUAAUUAGUCUGUGGGUAGGGGGUGCAAUCUGGACGGUUCUGCCAGAGGCGCAAGAUCACCUAGCUAUGGCUCUGCUGCUUGCUAUGAUACUGCAAACAAUACAGUGGUACUUCGGGUUACAUACGCUUCAGGUUACAUACACUUCAGGUUACAGACUCCGCUAACCCAGAAAUAGUGCUUCAGGUUAAGAACUUUGCUUCACGAUGAGAACAGAAAUCAUGCUCCGGCGGCGCGGCAGCAGCAGGAGGCCCCAUUAGCUAAAGUGGUGCUUCAGGUUAAGAGCAGUUUCAGGUUAAGAACGGACCUCCGGAACGAAUUAAGUACUUAACCCGAGGGACCACUGUACCUUCAUGUGCAAAGGGACUUGUCUCACCUCUGAACAGGGUAACGUUUUCAUACAGGGAGUCAGGGAGUCCUACUUAUCAUUUUCCUCUUGCCUUUAUACAAGAUUGGAUCGUGUGUUUUAUUUCUCAUGGGGCAGGCUACUUACUGGAAAGGGUAAGAAAUACCACAUGGAGUUUCUUUCAGAAGGCAGUGUGGUUAGAUGCAAGGUUCUUGUAACUGAUGGUUGUGGUUGCAUUGGCAGGCGAUAGUAACUUUAGGAGAGCCCUGAAUUUAAAAAGUAUGAGGAACAGUAACCUAGUUGUAAGGUUAGACCUUUGAAAACUGAAUUGUCAACACAACUGUGCUUAGUCUAUGCCCAUAGAUAGACUAUAUUAUCGUCCAGCAUUACUGUCACUUUGCUUGUGGUUGGGAAAUAUGGAGCUGGGUAUUGAAUUGCAUAUUUUGCAGCUCUUCCAAGAGCAAUUAUUUCAUGUACAGCUAAAAGCUUUGAAAAUAAUUAAAACUCUGCUGCAAGUGACAUGAGAGAAGGAGAGAGAGAGAGAGAGAAGUCAUUCAAUGACAGUUAUGCUUCAUGGCCUUCAAGACUCCUUUCCACAGUUCUUAAAAGCAAUUAGAAGUAAGUAGCGAGUCUGGAUUGUUCAUCCCCUUUCACAGCUGCAAACUGAAUGGUACUCAUUAAGGUGUAAUCUGGUUUGAAUUUGCAGCUGUCUGCUUCCUAAGUUCCCUUUAUUUUUUAAAAUAUCUAUAGCCUCAAGCAACAAUAAUAAAGGGAAGAAAGAAGCAAAAUAGCAACGAUUUACCCUGCGGUAUUUCCAAGACCUCUUCCUUUCAUAUGUAUGAUCAUAGCUUCAAUCUUAUCCCACGCUUUUUAUGCAAUACUAUUCUCAACAGAAUCUUUAACAAUAUAGUUUCUGAGUACCAUUUUAACACAACAUAUAAACGAUGAAUUAAUGUAAGUGCAUUAGUGGUAAAGAGAGCUCUGUUUACCAGCUUAGGUUGAUACGCCAUCUGUGACCGGUGUCAGUGGUUGGACCUGCUUCAGUUAUUCAUACAUGAGUUACUUUCAAAGAUGACUACUGUAAGCUACUCUUACAGGACUGGUUUUGAGGAAGGUUCAAAAGCUCCAGUUUGUGCAAAAUGUUACUGUCCAGAUGUUGACGGGAGCCAACGGGGCGGUGGGGGGUGUUUCCCCUGAACUCAUAGCACCAAUUUUGCACCAGUUGCAUGCGUUAGUGGCAUGUUCCCAGGCAGAAUUAAAAGUACAGUGUGAAUAACCCUUAAAUUCCUAAAUUGGUUUGGGCCAGGAUAACUAAAGAACCAUCAAUCCCUGUAUAAUCCUGCCCAUAUAUUAAGAACAGCUACGAAGGUCCAGCUUGUAUGCCUGUCAGUAAAAUCUAUUAGGCUGGUGGCAUGAAAGACAGAUCCUUCUUGGUGGUGGCUCUGUUGUUAUAGAACUCCCUUUCUGGACGGUGCUUGCUCAUCUCCCCCCACCUGGUUCAACUGGGUCUUAAAAAUGUGUCUGUUCCAUGUUGCUUUUCCUUAACUGUGUUUCUUGAGACUUUGAGCUGCCUUACAAUAGUGUAUUCUUACGAUUUGACCCUUCAAAUCUUAUUUAUUUUUAAAUUUAUAUAUCACCCUUCAUCCAAAGAGCAGUUCACAAGAUAAAAAUACAGGAUAAAAAUAUAGCUUAAUGUUUUGCAUCUCAUUGGGUACAUGUCCUUGUGGGUGUUAUGCCUUAAAAGGCUGGCUAUAUAUACUUUAAUCGUCCUAACCAAAUGGUUGACUAUUUUAUGAUAUUCACUAAACAGGUGGUGGUAAUGGUAUUUGGCUGGCAAUAAAGAUAUUUAUAC